Cervus elaphus (red deer) is the source of this 1408-nucleotide long non-coding RNA. RefSeq lists it as uncharacterized. Lineage: Eukaryota; Metazoa; Chordata; Mammalia; Artiodactyla; Cervidae. The transcript is spliced from 3 exons. The record is from RefSeq and is a predicted model, not a curated record.
CCUCUGUUGCAUGAAUCAUAUGCUCAGAGAACUUGAUUGAAUUGGUCUGAGAGGAUGACCAGAAGCCAACAGUUUUUCCGAAACUGCCAAGGUCAUUACAAAACGCAACUCAGACUGAAAAUCAUUGAAUAAAGGGAAACCAAAUCCAUGAACCCCUUUUUCAGCAAAAAAUUACUGAAAGAUCGACACUUAGAGAACAGAGAAAUGAAUCAAAAGGAAGAGUUCAGAAAUGAAGACGCUGCGGUGAAAUAAUUAUUGAGGGGUUCACACAAGUGAUGGCUGCUCCUGGUCCCUCCUUUUGUCACGUCAUCCCUGACAAGCUCUUCUUCAGCUGAAAGACUUGACAAUGAGAAUGGUGACCUAGCUUACCAGUCUGCUCUGGGUUUCUAAAAGAGUGCCGGAAGUAUGGACUAGAAGACUAGGGAAAGCCUUGUGAUACUAGAUUAGAGUUAGAAGGAUCAGUGUGAACUCAUGAUGGCAUUUAUAUAAACUGCACAGCUCCUGCCUCUGAGGCCCUGCCUUGCAGAUUCCAGUGCUUCAGCUGCCCGAGGCCCCAUCUCCUCCUCCUCAACUCAGAGGGACCGCUGCUCUCAGCUUAGAUUCCUGAUCGCUACACUGCGAGCAGGACACUCUGAUUCCUCAGUGCUUCAAGCCAAGUUGAGUGACUGAGUGUGGACUUUGUAAUGGUUACUAAUCCUUGGCAGUCUUGGCAGUACUGUCUGAAAUCUGCACACCCUUCGUGAAUUACAAAAUUAUUGCCUGACAGCUGCUAAGUGGCCUCAGUGAAAUGAGUUGUUCCCUUUGAUCAAAUGCAUGGGAGAUAAAAAUGACCAAUGGCUACCAGGUUUUACAGAGAAACAGUUUAAAACCAUCUUUCAGACUGUAUUACUUUGUCACUUUAGAAAUGAGUCACAGAGUGUGAGCAAAUAAAAUAUGUUUACUACUUAUUUCUUUUCUGGCAAAGAAACACUUUAAGUCCUUGGGGGUAAGAGGCCCAUAUACUUUCAAAAACAAUACAGCAAGGCAAAUUAAAAUAAACAGCAAACUUCUUAGGUAGACUUUCUGCCGGUCUCUUCAAGGACUCCUGAUCCUGCCGCGUUGGAGCCCCAGAAGGUUGAUGAAGGGUAGCUGCUGCCCCCUAGUGUAGGACUUCUUGUUACUGCAGGCAUCUCCAGUAGCCCACUGCCAGAUGCAUGGGAAACAAACAAAGGUGCUAUGUUUAAGUGAUGCAGAUAAUUCAGAACUUUUAAAAGUGUAUCAUUCUCUUAGAAUGAGUAGCUAUAACACUUAUUUGUAAUUGUUUGAAGAAAAAGUCGUAUAAAUGUUUUCCUGUCAUUGCUUCAAAUUUGAUGUUCUCAUAUCAUUUUCUGCUUUUUCCAUUUCAGGGCUGCACACCUAAUGUGCAAAG